AGGAGCUUAGCAUCCAUCUCCCCAUCUAUAUAUAAGCUAGAGCUCUUGGUGGUUGACUCAGACUUUAGUGGAGAGAUAAUUACUUAAUGGUUAGUAAAGCACACGAGAUUUCCAUUUGGUUCGCUGGAAUAUUAGAGGAAACCAAAAGCAUGGUGAUCAUGUCCCUGUUCUACUAUUUUGUUUGAUCUUGUAGUCCAUUGGCCGUGGCGCUGCUGGGAUGGAGGCUUGGUUUUUUGUGUGCAUCUGCAGAGGCAUAGCGUGCCUACCUGCUCAAGGUGUAUAGCUAACACGAAGGAACCUGAUAGUGAACUACGUAGUAGCAACUUAUCAACCAAGCGCAUGCAGUUCGAGCACUACAUGCAAGUGACUACAUUACAUUGCAAGCAAGCGUAUGGUGCUCUCUACAUGCAGUUCGAGCCACGAUGCCAUUAAUUAGUGGUCAUGCAUGAAUAACUUCAGUUCUACGUAUACAUACAUUUCAGAGGCAACAAUGCUGCCUCCGCCUCCUCUUCCGUGUUACACUUCUUGGUUUACUUUGCCAGUUCCAGUUUCAUUCCCUUUCCGCUGUUGCACCUUUUAAAAUGCUCCAAAAACAAUUCUGUGAAAAAUUUACCUUGAUGCAACAUUGAUCUGUGUCGUGUUUAUAGCAGGGUUUGUUGGGACAAACCCACCGGCGACCCAAACGCCGGACGAAGGUAGAUGAAGGAGACACCAUAAUUUUUCCGGCGACGAACGCCGCGACGCACCAACGCCUUUAUCUUGGCUUUAUUGCUCACAACGACUCGAACACAUACAUGAGGAACACACGCACGCAUGCGGUACAACCCGGAAGAACUCUCACGUCGACCGGACACACAUCACGAUCCCGACGGAGACUACAUCUUCUAGGCUGCGGCAGUGUAUUGAUCGAGCUCCUUGUCUCCACUUUCCGCUCCACCGCCACCACGCUCCCGUCUCCAUCUUCCUCUGCGCCGACGUUCCCUCUCCGGCCGAACAACCACCUCACCUCCCCCAUCCUCCGCCCCGCGUCUCCAUCCAGGUCAUCGCCACUAAAAAUAUGUACAUAUUUUGCUUUCUUUUUAUCCUACUUACUUGUCUAUACCAGGCUUCCAGUUCCAGAUGAAUGCCCGGAUGAAUGCUCCAGCAACCAUGGGUUUAUCUGAUGGAUGGAUGGACAUACGUACAGCGUGAGCAGAACAAAAGAAUCGAACUGCUUAAGGAGCAUAUUAGAGUAUUGGAGCAGGAAAUAGAGUCUCUCAAGCGUGAAGCUGUAGAAAUGCAGCCUGCGUAUGUGCAGGCUAAACAUAUGCUGAUAGCUGUGCGUGUUGUUGGAGCUAAUUCUCUCAGCUCACCUCUUCUCUCUUGGUUGUUUCACACAACACACACAAGAACACAAGAAAUUUGAUGCCGUGCUGCCUCACACAGCUCACAGCUUUUC
RNAcentral lists this long non-coding RNA (1438 nucleotides) under Hordeum vulgare. Its description in RNAcentral is "long non-coding RNA (HVUL_LNC014596)". Lineage: Eukaryota; Viridiplantae; Streptophyta; Magnoliopsida; Poales; Poaceae. The record is from RNAcentral.